AUGUGCAUCGACUCCACCAGGCCACGGUGGGUCGGGUACCGGUCCACCCACGCCAGCGGCAGCGUGUGGUCGGGGGUCUCCGACGCCGGCUUCACCGCGCCCUCCGAGAUCCGCGUCACCUUGAAGCUCGACGACGCCAUGGCCGCUCUCGCUCUGCUCUGGGCUUCUGUGAGGUGUGUGGAGUUUUUCAGAACAAGGCUCUGA
This 204-nucleotide ribosomal RNA is filed under the name Triticum aestivum (bread wheat). Its description in RNAcentral is "partial small subunit ribosomal RNA". Lineage: Eukaryota; Viridiplantae; Streptophyta; Magnoliopsida; Poales; Poaceae. The record is from RNAcentral.